This 277-nucleotide ribosomal RNA is filed under the name uncultured bacterium. RNAcentral describes it as "partial 16S ribosomal RNA". It matches the Rfam family "Bacterial small subunit ribosomal RNA", at positions 28 to 309 of the family's 1533-position model. The record is from RNAcentral.
GAUUAACGCUGGCGGCGUGCCUAACACAUGCAAGUCGAACGAGGGGUAGCAAUACCUCUAGUGGCAGACGGGUGAGUAACGCGUGGUCAACCUACCGUUGAGUGGGGGAUAACUAGCCGAAAGGUUAGCUAAUACCGACAAUACGUCUCCGAGGGGCAUCCCUUGGCGAUAAAAGGAGCAAUCCGCUCGACGACGGGACCGCGUCCCAUUAGCUAGAUGGUGGGGUAACGGCCUACCAUGGCUCCGAUGGGUAGCUGGUUUGAGAGAGCGACCAGCC